RNAcentral lists this ribosomal RNA (301 nucleotides) under uncultured bacterium. RNAcentral describes it as "partial 16S ribosomal RNA". It matches the Rfam family "Bacterial small subunit ribosomal RNA", at positions 509 to 807 of the family's 1533-position model. The record is from RNAcentral.
CAGCCGCCGCGGUAAAACGUAGGGUGCAAGCGUUGUCCGGAAUUAUUGGGCGUAAAGAGCGUGUAGGCGGCUCGACAAGUCCGCUGUGAAAGUCCAGGGCUCAACCCUGGAAUGCCGGUGGAUACUGUCGAGCUAGAGUCCGGAAGGGGCGAGUGGAACUCCUGGUGUAGCGGUGAAAUGCGCAGAUAUCAGGAAGAACACCAAUGGCGAAGGCAGCUCGCUGGGACGUGACUGACGCUGAGACGCGAAAGCGUGGGGAGCGAACAGGAUUAGAUACCCCCGUAGUCCCUGUCUCUUAUAC